This 253-nucleotide ribosomal RNA is filed under the name uncultured bacterium. RNAcentral's name for it is "partial 16S ribosomal RNA". It matches the Rfam family "Bacterial small subunit ribosomal RNA", at positions 524 to 776 of the family's 1533-position model. The record is from RNAcentral.
UACAUGGGGUGCAAACGUUGCUCGGAAUUAUUGGUCGUAAAGCGCGCGUAGGCGGUUAUCUAAGUCGGAUGUGAAAGCCCUCGGCUUAACUGAGGAAGUGCACCCGAAACUGGGUAGCUAGAGUACUAAAGAGGGUCGCGGAAUUCCCGGUGUAGAGGUGAAAUUCGUAGAUAUCGGGAGGAACACCGGUGGCGAAGGCGGCGACCUGGGUAGAUACUGACGCUGAGGCGCGAAAGCGUGGGGAGCAAACAGG